GGGGACGACCCGGUUUCGACGGUGCGUGCUGGAAGUGAAGUGGCGAGUCGAGGAUGACCGUUGGCCUCGUUAAUCAUCGGUCAAGCCUUUCAAAUGGCAACAACAGCGUUUCUUACGCAUACGCAGCUUAAUUGACUGCGCAGUGACCACGCAGCCCGGCCUUUGGCGUCGCGGAAACUGAUACAAAAGAAGGCUAGUUGACCCAAGUGCUCCGAUAAGUCAGCGAAAUUUAGGAGAUAGGCGCGAAAGCAGCGUGUCCAUGCGCGGCUGAGCGAGGAGAAUCAAAUCACGGACUACACUCGUAGAAGCCCACCAAGGCUGUAUCGGACGAGGGUUCGACUCCCUCCGUCUCCACCA
Non-coding RNA from Deinococcus marmoris, 357 nucleotides. NCBI's taxonomy places the organism in Bacteria, Thermotogati, Deinococcota, Deinococci, Deinococcales, Deinococcaceae. The record is from Rfam.